RNAcentral lists this ribosomal RNA (819 nucleotides) under uncultured Actinomycetes bacterium. Its description in RNAcentral is "bacterial SSU rRNA". It matches the Rfam family "Bacterial small subunit ribosomal RNA", at positions 335 to 1167 of the family's 1533-position model. Lineage: Bacteria; Bacillati; Actinomycetota; Actinomycetes. The record is from RNAcentral.
ACUCCUACGGGAGGCAGCAGUGGGGAAUAUUGCGCAAUGGGCGAAAGCCUGACGCAGCGACGCCGCGUGAGGGACGACGGCCUUCGGGUUGUAAACCUCUUUCAGCAGGGAUGAAGCGAAAGUGACAGUACCUGCAGAAGAAGCACCGGCUAACUACGUGCCAGCAGCCGCGGUAAUACGUAGGGUGCAAGCGUUGUCCGGAAUUAUUGGGCGUAAAGAGCUCGUAGGCGGUCUGUCACGUCGGAUGUGAAAAUCCAGGGCUCAACCCUGGACCUGCAUUCGAUACGGGCAGACUAGAAUUCGGUAGGGGAGACUGGAAUUCCUGGUGUAGCGGUGAAAUGCGCAGAUAUCAGGAGGAACACCGGUGGCGAAGGCGGGUCUCUGGGCCGAUAUUGACGCUGAGGAGCGAAAGCGUGGGGAGCGAACAGGAUUAGAUACCCUGGUAGUCCACGCCGUAAACGUUGGGCGCUAGGUGUGGGGAACAUUCCACGUUCUCCGUGCCGCAGCUAACGCAUUAAGCGCCCCGCCUGGGGAGUACGGCCGCAAGGCUAAAACUCAAAGGAAUUGACGGGGGCCCGCACAAGCGGCGGAGCAUGCGGCUUAAUUCGACGCAACGCGAAGAACCUUACCAAGGCUUGACAUAUAGGGAAAUCUCACAGAGAUGUGAGGUCCGCAAGGGCCCUAUACAGGUGGUGCAUGGUUGUCGUCAGCUCGUGUCGUGAGAUGUUGGGUUAAGUCCCGCAACGAGCGCAACCCUCGUUCAAUGUUGCCAGCACGUAAUGGUGGGGACUCAUUGGAGACUGCCGGGGUCAACUCGGA